Molecule: non-coding RNA, 261 nt
Organism: Pelobates cultripes (western spadefoot toad)
Lineage: Eukaryota; Metazoa; Chordata; Amphibia; Anura; Pelobatidae
Source: the annotation of a GenBank genome assembly
CCUAACUCCAAAAUGGCGGAUACGACACGCCAGUCAGCAAACAUGGAGACAAGUGGAAAAUCGCCAAACGACACCCUGACUAAGCUAGAUGCAAUUUUUGCUGCCUUCUGGGCCAGGAUUGCGAAGAGGACACUGAACACGGCUAAAGCUAAACGUACCACUCUUGCACCCACGCCACCGGCACUCCCAGGCCCCAAGAGCGGACGCAGAAUGAUAGCCGCCAGAGACUCCCCCAAAGAGACACCGAAAACGGGACCGGAG